GGUGGCAUAAUGGGUAAGAGCUUGGCUGCUAACCAAAGGGUUGGUGGUUCAAAUCCACCAGCCACUC
RNAcentral lists this transfer RNA (67 nucleotides) under Loxodonta africana (African savanna elephant). It matches the Rfam family "tRNA". Rfam says of the family: Transfer RNA (tRNA) molecules are approximately 80 nucleotides in length. Their secondary structure includes four short double-helical elements and three loops (D, anti-codon, and T loops). The record is from Rfam by way of RNAcentral. Lineage: Eukaryota; Metazoa; Chordata; Mammalia; Proboscidea; Elephantidae.